AAGGGGAUAAGCUAAAUAAAAAAUUAAAGCUUUUGGGCUCAUAACCCAAGUAUGGGUUCACCUCUCCUUAUU
This 72-nucleotide transfer RNA is filed under the name Imerinia grandidieri. RNAcentral describes it as "tRNA-Met". Lineage: Eukaryota; Metazoa; Mollusca; Gastropoda; Systellommatophora; Veronicellidae. The record is from RNAcentral.